CUACGGGGGGCUGCAGUGGGGAAUAUUGCGCAAUGGGCGAAAGCCUGACGCAGCAACGCCGCGUGAUCGAUGAAGCUUCAAGGAGUGUAAAGAUCUGUCCUAAGGGAAGAAUGGUUCCAAGUCGAAUAGGCUUGGUUCGUGACGGUACCUUAGAAGAAAGCGCCGGCUAACUUCGUGCCAGCAGCCGCGGUAAUACGAGGGGCGCAAGCGUUGUCCGGAUUCAUUGGGUGUAAAGGGUGCGUAGGUGGAUUUGUAAGUUGGAAUUUAAAUCCCGCAGCUUAACUGCGGACCUGGUUUCAAAACUGCAGAUCUUGAGUUCGAAAGAGGGGAGUGGAAUUCCUAGUGUAGCGGUGGAAUGCGUAGAUAUUAGGAGGAACACCAGUGGCGAAGGCGGCUCUCUGGUUCGAUACUGACACUAAGGCACGAAAGCGUGGGGAGCAAACAGGAUUAGAUACCCCUGUAGUC
This 465-nucleotide ribosomal RNA is filed under the name uncultured bacterium. Its description in RNAcentral is "partial 16S ribosomal RNA". It matches the Rfam family "Bacterial small subunit ribosomal RNA", at positions 339 to 795 of the family's 1533-position model. The record is from RNAcentral.